AGUGAACGUUGGCGGCGUGGAUUAGGCAUGCAAGUCGAGCGAGAACCGUAGCAAUACGGGGACAGCGGCGAAAGGGACAGUAAUGUGUAGGUACCUACCUCCGGGUUCGGGAUAGCUGCGGGAAACUGCAGGUAAUACCGAAUAACGUCUCCGGACCAAAGGUGUGAUUCCACCUGGAGAGGGGCCUGCAUCCCAUUAGCUUGUUGGCGGGGUAACGGCCCACCAAGGCGACGAUGGGUAGCGGGUGUGAGAGCACGACCCGCGUCAUUGGGACUGAGACACUGGCCAGACACCUACGGGUGGCUGCAGUCGUGAAUCUUCGGCAAUGGGCGCAAGCCUGACCGAGCGACGCCGCGUGCGGGAUGAAGGCCUUCGGGUUGUAAACCGCUGUCGUAGAGGAGGAAAUGCAGGGGGGUUCUCCCCUCUGUUUGACCUAUUCUAGGAGGAAGUACGGGCUAAGUUCGUGCCAGCAGCCGCAGUAA
RNAcentral lists this ribosomal RNA (482 nucleotides) under uncultured bacterium. RNAcentral describes it as "partial 16S ribosomal RNA". It matches the Rfam family "Bacterial small subunit ribosomal RNA", at positions 28 to 523 of the family's 1533-position model. The record is from RNAcentral.